AUUGCUUCUUGGCCUUUUGGCUAAGAUCAAGUGAAAUUAACUAUUGUUGUUAG
This 53-nucleotide small nuclear RNA is filed under the name Cervus elaphus hippelaphus. Lineage: Eukaryota; Metazoa; Chordata; Mammalia; Artiodactyla; Cervidae. The record is from RNAcentral.